AACGAACGCUGGCGGCAUGCCUAACACAUGCAAGUCGAACGACACCACCGUAACUAGUUGCUCACGGGUGCGUAACGCGUGGGAACGUGGCCUUAGGCUCGGAAUAACUCCUCUAAAGGGGUGCUAACAUCGGAUAAUGUCCGCGAACCCAAGAUUUAUCUCACUUGUAUGGGCGGGCGUUGUUUUAGCUUGUCGCUAGGGUAAAAGCCUAUGAAGGCGACGCUCGAUAGCUGGUCUGAGAGACAGAUCAGCCACACUCCGACUGAGAAACGGCCCAGACUCCUACGGGAGGCAGCAGUGGGGAAUAUAGCACAAUGGCGGGAAGCCUGAUGCAGCAAUGCCGCGUGAGUGAUGAAGGCCUUAGAGUAGUAAAGCUCUUUUACCCGGGAUGAUAAUGACGGUACCGAAAGAAUAAGCUCCGGCUAACUUCGUG
This 433-nucleotide ribosomal RNA is filed under the name uncultured bacterium. RNAcentral describes it as "partial 16S ribosomal RNA". It matches the Rfam family "Bacterial small subunit ribosomal RNA", at positions 29 to 507 of the family's 1533-position model. The record is from RNAcentral.